RNAcentral lists this long non-coding RNA (916 nucleotides) under Anser brachyrhynchus (Pink-footed goose). RNAcentral's name for it is "lncRNA (ENSABRG00000014496.1)". The record is from RNAcentral. Lineage: Eukaryota; Metazoa; Chordata; Aves; Anseriformes; Anatidae.
UAAGUUUCACUGCUGCUGGUCUUUUUUUUUACCCUUGGCUUCAGAAAAAAAAUAUAUAUUGCUUUUUCGUUGGCAUCCUGCCUUGACUGAUGAGAUGUUAGCAGCCCCUAAGAAGGAGAAAAUCCAUAUGCCGAAGACAACUGUGGGCUCAUUUUCCUACAGAGGAAGAGUGUUGGAUGAAGCAUAGGAACAGGAAAAUGGCUUCAAUGCUUCAGAUGCUUCAGACACUGGAAUAUCUUGGGCUAUCAAAACAGAGCACAACAGUCAUGAUCAGAAACAUUUUGCUUUAGCAUUUCAUCUCUUCAUUAAUGGACCAUGAAAAGUGAAGACAAGAGAAUUGGACCAAAGAGCUGCCAGAGACUAAACCAAGUAUUACCUCUUGAAAGAUUGUAUCCUUGAUGCUUUAAAUUAAAACUUUAUUGCCAUUGUAAAAUGUCUGUGACUUACCCAGGGAAAAUAAAAUAUAUGAUUUUCAGAGAGUGAUCAUUACUUUUUCAGCUAAAGAAGAAGUGUCCUUUCCUCUUAAGAAUGGUGCGAAAUGGAGUCCUCAACUGGCUUUCCUCAGUGAAAGCUGGAUUACUUGUGAAGAAUCUUAGAGACUCCAUCCAGCCUCCUACCCUGCUGGAGAUACUCAAACCCAGACCUCACCUCUCCCUGAGAUGAGAGGCCCAGCCACUAGGAUGCUGGCUACAGGAGACGGAGUGGCGUGUGAGGGGGCAGAGAGCAUCUGUCUCUCUGACUGAAGCUGUUCCACCAUGCAGAAAACCUUCAAAAUUCAAGAUCAAAGAGGGACCAAGAGGAGGUAUGACUGCAUCAUCCAGCAGUUUGCAGUCACCUGACAGACGGAAAUCUGUGUACCCUUCCUGCUCCAACAUGUAUCUACAAGCUUCUAUAUGCAUAAAGCACUAAAUGAAAU